This 372-nucleotide ribosomal RNA is filed under the name uncultured bacterium. RNAcentral describes it as "bacterial SSU rRNA". It matches the Rfam family "Bacterial small subunit ribosomal RNA", at positions 524 to 898 of the family's 1533-position model. The record is from RNAcentral.
UACGAAGGAUCCAAGCGUUGUCCGGAUUUACUGGGUUUAAAGGGUGCGUAGGCGGACUAUUAAGUCAGUGGUGAAAGCUGGUAGCUUAACUAUCAAACUGCCAUUGAAACUGAUAGUCUCGAGUAUAGUUGAGGUAGCUGGAAUGUAUCAUGUAGCGGUGAAAUGCUUAGAUAUGAUACAGAACACCAAUUGCGAAGGCAGGUUGCUAAACUAUAACUGACGCUGAGGCACGAAAGCGUGGGGAGCAAACAGGAUUAGAUACCCUGGUAGUCCACGCCCUAAACGUUGAUUACUCGCUGUUGGCGAUACACUGUCAGCGGCUAAGCGAAAGCGGUAAGUAAUCCACCUGGGGAGUACGGUCGCAAGAUUGAA